This 497-nucleotide ribosomal RNA is filed under the name uncultured bacterium. RNAcentral's name for it is "partial 16S ribosomal RNA". It matches the Rfam family "Bacterial small subunit ribosomal RNA", at positions 28 to 507 of the family's 1533-position model. The record is from RNAcentral.
GAUGAACGCUGGCGGCGUGCCUAAUACAUGCAAGUCGAGCGAACAGACGAGGAGCUUGCUCCUCUGACGUUAGCGGCGGACGGGUGAGUCACAUGUGGAUCACCUCCCUAUCAGACUGGGAUAACUUCGGGAAACCGGCGAUAAUACCGGAUAAUAUAUUGCACCGCAUGGUUCAUUAGUGAAAGACGGUUUUGCUGUCACUUAUAGAUGGAUACGCGCCGCAUUAGCUAGUUGGUAAGGUCACGGCUUACCAAGGCAACGAUGCGUAGCAGACCUGAGAGGGGGAUCGGCCACACUGGAGCGGGGACGGGGUCCAGAGUCCUGCGGGAGGCAGCAGUAGGGAAUCGUCCGCAAUGGGCGGGAGCCUGGCGGAGCGGCGGCGCGUGUGUGAUGAAGGUCUUCGGAUCGUAAAACUCUGUUAUUAGUGAAGAACAAAUGUGUAAUUUACUAUGCACGUCUUGACGGUACCUGAUCAGAAAGCCACGGCUAACUACGUG